AGUCGAGCGGAUGAAAGGAGCUAUGCUCCUGGAUCUCAGCGGCGGACGGGUGAGUAAUGCCUAGGAAUCUGCCUGGUAGUGGGGGACAACGUUUCGAAAGGAACGCUAAUACCGCAUACGUCCUACGGGAGAAAGCAGGGGACCUUCGGGCCUUGCGCUAUCAGAUGAGCCUAGGUCGGAUUAGCUAGUUGGUGAGGUAAUGGCUCACCAAGGCGACGAUCCGUAACUGGUCUGAGAGGAUGAUCAGUCACACUGGAACUGAGACACGGUCCAGACUCCUACGGGAGGCAGCAGUGGGGAAUAUUGGACAAUGGGCGAAAGCCUGAUCCAGCCAUGCCGCGUGUGUGAAGAAGGUCUUCGGAUUGUAAAGCACUUUAAGUUGGGAGGAAGGGUUGUAGAUUAAUACUCUGCAAUUUUGACGUUACCGACAGAAUAAGCACCGGCUAACUCUGUGCCAGCAGCCGCGGUAAUACAGAGGGUGCAAGCGUUAAUCGGAAUUACUGGGCGUAAAGCGCGCGUAGGUGGUUUGUUAAGUUGGAUGUGAAAUCCCCGGGCUCAACCUGGGAACUGCAUCCAAAACUGGCAAGCUAGAGUAUGGUAGAAGGGUGGGUGGAAUUUCCUGUGUAGCGGUGAAAUGCGUAGAUAUAGGAAGGAACACCAGUGGCGAAGGCGACCACCUGGACUGAUACUGACACUGAGGUGCGAAAGCGUGGGGAGCAAACAGGAUUAGAUACCCUGGUAGUCCACGCCGUAAACGAUGUCAACUAGCCGUUGGGAGCCUUGAGCUCUUAGUGGCGCAGCUAACGCAUUAAGUUGACCGCCUGGGGAGUACGGCCGCAAGGUUAAAACUCAAAUGAAUUGACGGGGGCCCGCACAAGCGGUGGAGCAUGUGGUUUAAUUYGAAGCAACGCGAAGAACCUUACCAGGCCUUGACAUCCAAUGAACUUUCCAGAGAUGGAUUGGUGCCUUCGGGAACAUUGAGACAGGUGCUGCAUGGCUGUYGUCAGCUCGUGUCGUGAGAUGUUGGGUUAAGUCCCGUAACGAGCGCAACCCUUGUCCUUAGUUACCAGCACGUAAUGGUGGGCACUCUAAGGAGACUGCCGGUGACAAACCGGAGGAAGGUGGGGAUGACGUCAAGUCAUCAUGGCCCUUACGGCCUGGGCUACACACGUGCUACAAUGGUCGGUACAGAGGGUUGCCAAGCCGCGAGGUGGAGCUAAUCCCACAAAACCGAUCGUAGUCCGGAUCGCAGUCUGCAACUCGACUGCGUGAAGUCGGAAUCGCUAGUAAUCGCGAAUCAGAAUGUCGCGGUGAAUACGUUCCCGGGCCUUGUACACACCGCCCGUCACACCAUGGGAGUGGGUUGCACCAGUAAGUAGCUAGUCUAACCUUCGG
Molecule: ribosomal RNA, 1395 nt
Filed under: Pseudomonas koreensis
Lineage: Bacteria; Pseudomonadati; Pseudomonadota; Gammaproteobacteria; Pseudomonadales; Pseudomonadaceae
Description: bacterial SSU rRNA
Source: RNAcentral